AGAGUUUGAUCCAGGCUCAGGACGAACGCUGGCGGCGUGCCUAACACAUGCAAGUCGAACGGAGAUAUCCUUCGGGGUAUCUUAGUGGCGAACGGGUGAGUAACGCGUGGGUAACCUGCCCUUUUAUCGGGGAUAACUUGCCGAAAGGUGAGCUAAUACCGGAUGUCCUAUCUUGAUCACCUGAUUGAGAUAGCAAAGGUGGCCUCUUAACAAUGCUACCGUAAAAGGAUGGACCCGCGUCUGAUUAGCUAGUUGGUGAGGUAACGGCUCACCAAGGCGACGAUCAGUAGCCGGCCUGAGAGGGUGAACGGCCACACUGGGACUGAGACACGGCCCAGACUCCUACGGGAGGCAGCAGUGGGGAAUCUUCCGCAAUGGACGAAAGUCUGACGGAGCAACGCCGCGUGAGUGACGAAGGUCUUCGGAUUGUAAAACUCUGUUUUUUGGGACGAACGGCUCAUAUGUGAAUAAUGUAUGAGAUUGACGGUACCAAAGGAGGAAGCCCCGGCUAACUACGUGCCAGCAGCCGCGGUAAUACGUAGGGGGCAAGCGUUGUCCGGAAUUAUUGGGCGUAAAGAGCGCGCAGGCGGGUCUGUCAGUCUACCGUGAAAGCUUACGGCUCAACCGUAACGGGUCGGUGGAUACUGCAGAUCUUGAGGGCAGGAGAGGAAAGUGGAAUUCCCAGUGUAGCGGUGAAAUGCGUAGAUAUUGGGAGGAACACCAGUGGCGAAGGCGACUUUCUGGACUGUUACUGACGCUGAGGCGCGAAAGCUGGGGGAGUGAACGGGAUUAGAUACCCC
Molecule: ribosomal RNA, 800 nt
Filed under: uncultured bacterium
Lineage: Bacteria
Description: bacterial SSU rRNA
Rfam family: Bacterial small subunit ribosomal RNA
Source: RNAcentral